GUCUCGCCAGGCUGUCAUCGUGUCAUCCAGAACAAAAGUCAACUAAGCCUCCAGGAAUAGUGAAAAAUGUGACAAAAUCAUUAGGAAAUGUGGGGAACUCAAUUUGUUUAUAUGAUAAAAACAUAAGCAUGUGACAAUCUUUAGUGACGUUUUAGGAAAACAUUCCUGAGUGCACAAUGCGCUUCAACAAACAGGAGCUGGUAGCCCUGGCCAUGCAGCCUUCAACCAAGUUUGAAAAGGAAGGCAUCUUAUACAUAAGGGAAAGGCAAGAGGGAUUCUUCAGAAAAUCUGAGAGAGGCAAGAAGGGCAAAUUGGCAAAACAUGAAAAAAGGCUUCGAAACUUGAGUUGUGUGGGGGGAAUUACUAAAGUAAGCCUGGAAAGAUGGUGUCGGUUAAGAGGCAAUUUACUUUUUUACUUCAAGAGCAAAGACCCAUUUUCGGAACCGUUGGGUGUAGUCGUCUUAGAACAGUGCCAGACCAGGAUAGACCCUCCCAUGGCAUCUCCACCUUUGACACAUGAUGGACACUAUCCAUUUUAUUUAGUUUUUGAUGGUGGUUUAUCCCAAGCGUUAGCUUCGACUUCGGAAUACGAACGGUCAAGCUGGAUGGAAGCAAUUAGAAAUGCGAGCUACGAAGGGGUGAGAGCGGAAUUAAACGCUUUGAGACAGUGCCUGGAAAGAAAAAGAAACCACAAACCGACCGUAGAUUUACAAACUUGGAGGCUGCAACAAAAUCAUACAUUAGAUAUAUCGGAGAUCCCAAUAUAUGAAAUGGCUAUGGCCUGUGAUAAUUUAUUAUGUGAUGGACACGGUCGACCACCAAAUCCAACUUUGGAGGUGGACACAUAUAUGCCGGCACAGAAAACUUGGGUACAAUAUGGACGCACCGAAAUUAUAGAGAAAAGUAGCAACCCGCAGUUCCUUAGCACCAUCAGCUUCCGAGCAUCAGACGGUCUUACAGGAGAUUCCCGUAUUAAAUUCACAAUUUUCGACGUACAAGAGCGAAUUUCCCAAACUGCUGUUCCGUUAGGGUCUUCCUGUGUCUUACUGAGUGCCAUUCAAGAUUCUACUAGAUUAAGAAUACCAUUGUUGUCUCGUCAGAAUACCACUGCAGGCUUUUUAACAGUGUGCGCCUGGGCUUUAGAAGGAGAGGACAGAAAUACUUCCAACGAACAUACACCAGCUAGGGUUCCUAGUGUUAGUCACGCACAACAUGUUUGGUCGCAUAGGAGAUCGCAAUCUUUGCCACCACGUUUAGGAGUCCGAAUACGUCUUCCCAGCCAAACCGAUUUGAAACUUCUCUUUUCGUCACCUCAUUUACAAACAUACAGGUUCCAUUCUGGUUUGGGCGGAGAUAUUUCUGUACAUGAAUACAUGGCGGAGAGCAAGAUGUGUUUCAGUUUUCCUCACCAAAUGCUAGACGUAUGGAUUCAACAAGAAAAAGAACUACUACAAGAAGUAGCAGGUAUGGGUGAACUUAGAGAGCCAUGGCAUUCCCGACAAGUUGAACUACUAGACAGGCAUCUGCAUCUUUUAAGAUUAUAUUCACAAGCUCGAGAAAAUCUCCAAGCACACAAAGGCCCGUACUUCAAAAAAAGUUCACGCAAAAGCGACAGAAGUUUGGAAUUCGUGCCGAUCAACAUGCACUUGCAAAGAAUGUGGGUUUAUAACGACGCACUGAAUAAAUCGAACUUUUACGAUUGGGUGACGGUCGGUGCGUUUACUGCGCACAGUCACCGAUCUAAAAACGGCGGACUCAUUAGAUUAGUACAGCAGCUGAAGGAGUCACCUGUAAAAUCGAACACAAACUAUCAGAUCGCCACUAAAAUUUCGAUGGCUAACGAUGCCAUUCAAGCUAUAAAGCAACUUAGGAAGGAGGUAGUUGAGUCCAUGAAAACUCUUAUGAGACUAGCAAAAGAGAAACAGACCAACGGUAUGCUUCCAAUAUGUGAUGAUAUGAUUAAUAAAACUAGGAUAUUACUUAGUCUUUGGGAUCCGGGUUUGGUUGAGGAAGCUUUGAAUUUUAUUGAGGAGCACAAGCUGGUUCAGGCUGAUGAUUCUGGUCUUAGUGAGGAUUUAAGUUUAGAAAGCGUUAGUGGCCGUCCAAGUUUGUUAUUAUCACCUUUCAAACGGAUAACCCAACAGUUAACUUCGUUGGAUCUCAAGAGUCCCGAAUUAGAAGAUUUCGCUACUCCGUGUGUGCAAAAAACUAUGGCAGACUUAUGGAAAGUCCCAAAACUUGAAGACUCCCAACCCCAGAACCUGUUAAACACCAGUGAUGGCUUAAAGACUUUGUGCUCCAAUAUGAAAACACCCGAUGAAGCGAAUUUUGUGAUUUUCCCGGACGUGGAAGAUAGCAAUCUCGAGUCGUCACUAGAUAGUGGUCAACCGGAUAGCUUACCACAUACUUACUCUUAUACUAACGGAGAUGCACCUCCGUCCGGUUCAAGGAACCCCAUUCGUCCAGAUCAAGAUACAAGCACUAAACUUUUCUUGGAUACUAAUGCCAUGUGCAACUCGCCUUCUGCCAACUAUUAUAAACCUACAGAUGAACCAGAACCUUGGGAUAUUACUCAACUAAAUAUCGAAGCCAGUGUCAUGUGUUUAGUUAGUAAAGUUAAGUUUUUAUGUGGCCGAUGUGGCAGCCCUGCGGUAAGACUUAAGCAACAGCAAUCUAAUAACAGGCGAAAAGUGAUUCCUACGUCAAAUAUUAUCGAGGAAAAUGACGAAAACAAAACUGUCAAUAAGGCUGUGGUAAGAAACGGAAACAAAUUCACUGACGGAUUGGAUUUGAACAAAAUCAGCGAUUGGUCAGCGGAAUUGAGACCAAGCAUGCGCAAAUUAAGACAAGCCAUGGAUGGCUUAUUGAAGACUGCGCGUUUAACUCAUUCAGUGUUUAGGGUGCAAGAAGAUCCUAAAGCCGCCCAAAGAGUCUGCAACGUUAGGUAUCGCAGAGACGUUUGUUUUUCGCAAGCACUUACAUCCUUAGUUGUGGGAUUAAUGACCCGUUUAUGGUGCCAUAAAGCUGACCCCGCUUACGUCGCAACUUUGGGCCAAUUGGGACCCUUGGCCCACUUCGAAGGGCUGCUCAGCUACUACGGUGACGAGAUCGACAUGUGGGGCGACAUGUCGGUCGCUAUAGAAGACCUAAGGACCGUUUUAUUUGUUUUAGCUAGGAGUCCCAGUCCGUCUGUUGAAACUGUGCCUACGCCCAAAGUAUCGGGUACCCGCAAUAGCCUAACUGUAACCCUUCCAGUACCUGAUAGCCUGUACAGCUUGUUACCUUCAAAGCAAACUUAUAGUUUCCAUGUUACCCCAGUAUUUUUUAAUAUAGGUCUGAUGAUGCCCUAAUGCGGCGAAACGCGUAACCUUUAAAUAGACGCUUGAUUUAUGAGACUUGGACUUUGAGUUUACUUUCUCCCCCCAUUUGUUCAAAAUGGAAAUCACCAAAGCCAAGAAGCGUCCAAUUUUGACAUGCAUUAAUGAUGUUUUCACCUUUGAGCCAGGACUUACAGUGUGGCAGACGGAUCUGAAACACUUCGGCCUGAGGUAUAAAUGAAAGAGCAACUUUAGCAGAGAGCCUAGGCAGCACAAAACCUCAAGACCGUUCAAAUAUUGACAACUAUAGUCGAUUAUACGAAUAUUUCUUGAGAUAUAGAAAAAUA
Molecule: unclassified non-coding RNA, 3664 nt
Filed under: Anthonomus grandis grandis
Lineage: Eukaryota; Metazoa; Arthropoda; Insecta; Coleoptera; Curculionidae
Description: inositol polyphosphate-4-phosphatase type I A
Source: RNAcentral